Molecule: long non-coding RNA, 1819 nt
Organism: Mesocricetus auratus (golden hamster)
Lineage: Eukaryota; Metazoa; Chordata; Mammalia; Rodentia; Cricetidae
Exons: 3
Source: RefSeq, a predicted model, not a curated record
AGAGAGACAGGCCAGAGAAACAGACAGAGAGAAAUGGAAAAAAUGAUCCUUGACCUGGAUAAUUCAGCCACUGUUUCUUUCUCAGCAAAACAAAAUCAACAUGUAUGUAGCUUUACAAAAGUUUUGUUUGGGUUGUUAAUUUUGGUAAUUACUUAGAAAACCUAUGAAACUUGAUUUUUUAAAAAACUACUCUACAUUUAACAUAAUUGAUAGUGCAUUCUGUUUCAUGGUACAGAAUACACAACUGAUAUAUGAACACACACACAUACACAUGCAAAAAGAAAGACAAAGAAGGGGAUAUACAUUUUUAAAAAUAGCUUCUCAAAUACAUGCAUCUCUUGUUCAUGGUUUUGAAUGUAGGAAAACAUUUCAGUAGUGCAUCCGGAGAUAAAUGAGCCCGUGCGUGUGCACGCACACGUGCGUGCUCUCACACACACACACACACACACACACACACACACACACUAAAAGGCUAAAACAGAAAACUCAAAAAUAUAUGCCAAAUUAUUGUGCAUUGAUGGUUUAAUUCAUUCAUUUUGGAAAGAGCGUGUAUCAGCUCUUCAGUGUUGAUUCUGAAAUGAAUUGCAAGAUGGCCAGAUCUAUGACACUCAAAAAUGGGAAAGCAUUCAAAAAUGCCAGCGUGUACUGGAGAGGAGGCUCAGCCAUUAAGUGUUCUUAGGACUCCAAGCACAUAGGGAGACUCCCAACCACCUGAAACUUCACCCUCUGGGCACAUAACCCCCUCUUCUCACCUCUGUGAUACAUUGUUCAUAUUCAUAAACCCACGUAUGUUUUCAUGCUCUUUGAAUAAAGAAAUCAUUCUUGGAUUGAAGACAGUUAAUUUUUACCAUUGUUACAAGUCUGACUUAACCUAGGUUUGCAAGAGACCCAAGGGAAUAUAUUAACAGAAAAUUAUUUAAAAGCUUGAGAAUGGGAAAAAAGAAUGAAGGGGAAUAUGUGUGAUAUUUAGUACCUGUUAGGCACAAGUUACACUAUCUUAUACGUUCGCAUGUGCUUAGUGGUUUUUUUUUGUUUGUUUUCUGGUCUCCCAGCAACCAUAGAAGGAAAUGGUUUUAUUAUUUUUAAUAAUUUAUGGUUACUAAAAAUAGCUACAAAGAAGUGUAAGUCCAUAUUCAAGGUCAUAGCUGUGAAAAAUAAAGCAUGGGGACUUUAACACAUAGGUAACCAUGUUCCUGGUGUGGGGUUCUCCACUGUGUCAUCCUCUCCCUACCUCUGUGUGCUUCCUAAGCAGGAACCCAUAAAAGAAGAGAUGGGGCUGUGUACAGACUGACAACUCAUCUUUCUGGCAGAUGUUAUCAUGUGCCUGCAGCAUGUUUCCACACGAAUCCUUAAAGUGUUCUGGAAGUAGUCAUAGCAUUGCUCCCUUCAUAGACGAUGCUCCUGAAACCCAGAUCAUCAACAUCAGGACCCAUGAUUCUGCUUAAGGAGGAAGCUGGGAUCUGAAGCCAGAAGUUCUAAUAUGAUUAAAAGACUUCUUCAAAUAAUCCGUAGAAAUAAUGAAUUGUUUUUUUUCUUGCUGUGGCUUCAUUAUGCACAAAUAAAAGAUUUCUCCCUCAACCUUCCCCACAAGCAGACAUGGCAGCAUCUUGUCCAGCUUCAUCAAUCUCCUUUACCCAGGAAAGGAUUCCUGACCCCCUUUCUUCUCUUUCACCUGACAUCGCAUUGCCCACAAUUGAUACCUGAACCCUGUUGUUUUGUGGAUCGAGACCAUCUGCUUUGCCUUCUCCCAGCUCUGUGAGGACACCAUAAGGGGGUGAUUUUGUAUAUUUGAUAUACCCUAGUAAAGUCAGCCAAUGGA